Molecule: non-coding RNA, 1912 nt
Organism: Nicotiana tabacum (common tobacco)
Lineage: Eukaryota; Viridiplantae; Streptophyta; Magnoliopsida; Solanales; Solanaceae
Source: RefSeq, a predicted model, not a curated record
UCACGCUGCUUUCACAAACCUUUCCCAAAUUCAAUAUUCAAACUCACAAUUCGAUUCUUUCAAUCUUCUCCCUUGUACCUCUAACCCACCCGAUUUCAUAUCCAAAUCCACCCUCAAACCUUCAGAAAUAUACAAACAAGUGCACCCCAAUCUGCAAAAAGAUGCACAUAAACUUCUGUAUUUUCAAUUCUAAUCAUUCUAUUAGUUCCUAGCUUUUCUAAUUUCAGAGUUUGAACCUGGCCCACGUUUUCUCUUUCUUCUAAUUGGGUUUGUAUUGUAUAUGAUCGAAGAUGUAUAGCAAUUUCAAGGAGCAAGCGAUCGAGUACGUGAGGCAAGCAGUGCAAGAAGACAACGCUGGUAACUAUGCAAAAGCAUUCCCUCUUUACAUGAACGCUUUGGAGUACUUCAAAACCCAUUUAAAGUACGAGAAAAACCCUAAGAUUAAGGAAGCGAUUACUCAGAAAUUUACCGAGUAUUUGCGCCGGGCGGAGGAGAUCCGAGCUGUGUUGGAUGAGGGUGGUACCGGGCCAGGUCCGAAUGGAGGGGAUGCGGCUGUGGCGACAAGGCCCAAGACGAAGACGAAACCCAAGGAUGGAGAAGAUGGGGAGGAUCCUGAACAGUCCAAGUUGAGGGCUGGGCUUAACUCCGCGAUUGUUAGGGAGAAACCUAAUAUUAAGUGGAAUGAUGUUGCUGGGUUGGAAAGCGCUAAGCAAGCUUUGCAGGAAGCUGUGAUUUUGCCUGUGAAGUUCCCUCAGUUCUUCACCGGCAAGAGGAGGCCAUGGAGAGCUUUUCUUUUAUAUGGUCCUCCUGGGACAGGAAAAUCUUACUUGGCCAAAGCUGUUGCUACUGAAGCAGAAUCCACUUUUUUCAGUUGGCAAGUGCCAACUGCUGUUUUUAUGCAGUGUCUCAUCAUCGGAUCUCGUUUCCAAGUGGAUGGGGGAAAGUGAAAAGCUAGUUUCGAACCUAUUCCAAAUGGCUCGCGAAAGUGCCCCAUCCAUUAUAUUCGUCGAUGAAAUUGAUUCCUUGUGUGGGCAGCGAGGAGAAGGAAAUGAAAGUGAAGCUUCUAGACGUAUUAAAACAGAACUGCUUGUGCAGAUGCAGGGUGUUGGACACAAUGAUGAUAAAGUUCUUGUUCUUGCGGCAACAAAUACACCCUAUGCCCUAGAUCAGGCUAUUCGCCGAAGAUUUGAUAAGCGCAUCUACAUUCCUCUACCAGAUGCGAAGGCACGACAACACAUGUUCAAAGUUCAUUUAGGGGAUACCCCCCAUAACUUAAGUGAGAGCGACUUUGAAGACUUGGGCCGUAAAACAGAAGGUUUUUCUGGUUCGGAUGUUUCUGUGUGUGUCAAAGAUGUACUCUUUGAACCUGUUCGUAAAACACAAGAUGCUAUGUUCUUCACCCAGAGAUCUGAUGGUACAUGGAUGCCGUGUGGACCGAAACAACCGGGUGCUGUGCAGACAACUAUGCAGGAGCUUGAUGCUAAAGGACUUGCAUCUCAGAUCAUCCCCCCACCCAUUUCGAAAACAGACUUUGAUAAGGUGCUUGCUCGUCAACGACCAACAGUAAGUAAGUCGGACCUUGAUGUGCACGAAAGAUUCACCAAGGAGUUUGGAGAAGAAGGUUGAAGAAACUGAGCGGCUAUUCCUGCAGUUGCCAAGAUUUGUAGUUUACUUGUGUGUUGUGCCUGAAAAACAUGAUUCAAAGGCUCUUUAAAUGGAAAGUUGACUUUGUUUACCCUUUCCUUCUGGGGUGUUUCAGUUUUACACUUCAAAAUCUUAUUGCAAUUCAAUUACUUCAGUAAUUGUAAGCAACUGCAAGUACCAAAGUUUCUCUGAUUUCCUCUUUAUCAGUAUGUUCAUAGUUAUUCUGGAAAAUCUGAACCUGCCUUUUUAUUUUUAUUUUUAUGAUGAA